GAUAUCAGGUUGAAACAUCAGUCCCCGUACGAUCACCGAAGUUAAGCAACGUCGUGCCCGGUCAGUAUAUAAAUGGGUGACCACUUGGGAAUAA
Acanthosepion pharaonis is the source of this 94-nucleotide non-coding RNA. The record is from the annotation of a GenBank genome assembly. NCBI's taxonomy places the organism in Eukaryota, Metazoa, Mollusca, Cephalopoda, Sepiida, Sepiidae.